CAAGUUAUAGCAUAUACAAUGCCCUUUAUUUACACUAAAAAGAAAAUUCAUAUUUAACUUGA
RNAcentral lists this transfer RNA (62 nucleotides) under Barbronia weberi. RNAcentral describes it as "tRNA-Val". The record is from RNAcentral. Lineage: Eukaryota; Metazoa; Annelida; Clitellata; Hirudinida; Salifidae.